This 795-nucleotide long non-coding RNA is filed under the name Amborella trichopoda. Its description in RNAcentral is "long non-coding RNA (ATRI_LNC005523)". The record is from RNAcentral. Lineage: Eukaryota; Viridiplantae; Streptophyta; Magnoliopsida; Amborellales; Amborellaceae.
UUAAUUAGAAAAAUGAACGCCAAUAAUUUCAAGUGAUUUGGACUUGUAAAAAAAAAAUGAAAAUCCAAAUACGAAAUGAGCUCGUAUCUGUCAGAUCGGCCCAUAUUGAAUCUGAGCCGUUGGCAGACACUAUAGCAGUUAGGCCCAUGAGCGGACACGGUAUUUUUCAUAUAUAUAUAUAUAUAUAUAUAUAUAUGAUUUCAGGCAACGGUUGUAUAGUAGUAUAAUGCAACCAUCUUCUAAACCAUGUUAGAGACAUUUGUUUGACACAAAUUUUUCUUUUAACUCUAAAGAACAAUCACAAAAAAAAAAUUUGAUAAAAUGUUGUAGAAAGUGUUUUUCUAGCCCAAUUAUUAUGAGCCGUCCAUUUUAGUGAGAAUGUUUAGAUAUAGGCCUCAUAAGAAUUUUUUUAUUCUCAAAAUUUUUAUAUAGCGUUAUCAUCAUUAGGUUAACAAUGAUAAACAAGAAAAAAGUGAUUUAGAAUUUUUCAAUGCCUAGAUCUUGGAAUUCACCAAAUAGACAAUCGAGAUUCAGUGUUGGAGGGUACUAAUUUUGACCAUAUCUAGGGUGCAAAUUGAAUUUCGUUUUUUACAAGAUUGAUUAUGAGGAUGAAAAGAAUGUGUGAGAAAAAUUAGCGUCAUGCAAAUGCCAAAAACAUGAUUUUCUACAGGUGUGGUGGCAUUGUACUAUAAUACAACCGUUGGAGUAUGUAUAUAUAUAUGGGAUUGUCUAUAAGGAGAUCAUUUCUCUUUUGUACAAAGAAUUCACAAUCAUUCGUGUCCUUUAAAUUUUAAA